This 334-nucleotide ribosomal RNA is filed under the name uncultured bacterium. Its description in RNAcentral is "bacterial SSU rRNA". It matches the Rfam family "Bacterial small subunit ribosomal RNA", at positions 329 to 656 of the family's 1533-position model. The record is from RNAcentral.
CCCCAGACUCCUACGGGAGGCAGCAGUGGGGAAUCUUCCGCAAUGGGCGAAAGCCUGACGGAGCAACGCCGCGUGAUCGAAUGAAGGCCUUCGGGUUGGAAAGAUCUGUUGACAGGGACGAAUAAGCAAUGCGAAUAGUUUUGUGUAUGACGGUACCUGUUUAGAAAGCUCCGGCUAACUACGUGCCAGCAGCCGCGGUAAUACGUAGGGAGCAAGCGUUGUCCGGAAUUACUGGGCGUAAAGGGCGCGUGGGUGGGGGCUUAAGUCAGGUGGGAAAACGCGGGGCUCAACCCGGAGACUGCCCUUGAAACUGGGGGUCUUAAGGGCAGGAGAG